Molecule: non-coding RNA, 131 nt
Organism: Erinaceus europaeus (western European hedgehog)
Lineage: Eukaryota; Metazoa; Chordata; Mammalia; Eulipotyphla; Erinaceidae
Source: Rfam
AUGCAUGUUUCUAAGGUUUAUGGCUGGUAGUAAUCAUGGGGUCUCCAACUGCAUGGGAAAAUAACCUGAAGAAACUUUGACAACACAGGUCAGCAUAGAAAAUGUAGUUGUCACUCAUUUUUCGUAUAUUU